This 484-nucleotide ribosomal RNA is filed under the name uncultured bacterium. Its description in RNAcentral is "partial 16S ribosomal RNA". It matches the Rfam family "Bacterial small subunit ribosomal RNA", at positions 28 to 523 of the family's 1533-position model. The record is from RNAcentral.
GAUGAACGCUGGCGGCGUGCUUAACACAUGCAAGUCGAACGGUGAAGCAGGAGCUUGCUCUUGUGGAUCAGUGGCGAACGGGUGAGUAACACGUGAGCAACCUGCCCCUGACUCUGGGAUAAGCGCUGGAAACGGCGUCUAAUACUGGAUAUGUGAUGUGACCGCAUGGUCUGCAUCUGGAAAGAAUUUCGGUUGGGGAUGGGCACGCGGCCUAUCAGCUUGUUGGUGAGGUAAUGGCUCACCAAGGCGUCGACGGGUAGCCGGCCUGAGAGGGUGACCGGCCACACUGGGACUGAGACACGGCCCAGACUCCUACGGGAGGCAGCAGUGGGGAAUAUUGCACAAUGGGCGGAAGCCUGAUGCAGCAACGCCGCGUGAGGGAUGACGGCCUUCGGGUUGUAAACCUCUCUUAGCAGGGAAGAAGCGAAAGUGACGGCACCUGCAGAAAAAGCACCGGCUAACUACGUGCCAGCAGCCGCCGUAA